GGCGCAUUCGUCUAGGGGUCUAGGACGCCGCCCUCUCACGGCGGAAACACGGGUUCGAAUCCCGUAUGCGCUA
RNAcentral lists this transfer RNA (73 nucleotides) under Bacillota bacterium. Its description in RNAcentral is "tRNA-Glu". It matches the Rfam family "tRNA". Rfam says of the family: Transfer RNA (tRNA) molecules are approximately 80 nucleotides in length. Their secondary structure includes four short double-helical elements and three loops (D, anti-codon, and T loops). Lineage: Bacteria; Bacillati; Bacillota. RNAcentral also lists the same sequence under 2 other names. The record is from RNAcentral.